CUUGUGUUUACACUUGUACAGGAAAGGAGUUUGUCAGAGUUCGCUUUUUGGGUGACAAAUUAGAAAGGUUUAUACCAAAUCCUAAAGAAAUUAAAGUAAACCAACUUGCCAUGAAAAAUUUUGCAAAGUUGUAUGUGGGGCAACAAGUUACAGCCUACUGGUCAUCCACGGGAAGUUUCUUUGUUGCAGAAAUUAUCACUCCAGAUACACCAAAGAAAAAGAUAAUAAAUUUGUCUGACAGCAAAUUAACCCCCCAAAAAAGAAGAAAAUUGCCGUUUUAGACUGUUGUCAACAAAACACUACAGUGUCUUAUAAAAAUUUCGCUUCAAGUUUUGUUUUCAUUUUUCCAUUCUUCAAUGUGCUGUUUAAUAUUAAUAAUGUAAGUGUUUUAAUGAUC
Ciona intestinalis (vase tunicate) is the source of this 397-nucleotide non-coding RNA. NCBI's taxonomy places the organism in Eukaryota, Metazoa, Chordata, Ascidiacea, Phlebobranchia, Cionidae. The record is from RefSeq and is a predicted model, not a curated record.